UACGUAGGGGCCUAGCGUUGUCCGGAUUUAUUGGGCGUAAAGAGCUCGUAGGCGGUUCGGUAAGUCAGGUGUGAAAUCUCCACGCUCAACCUGGAGCCGCCACCUGAUACUGGUAUGGCUAGAGUCCGGUAGGGGACCACGGAAUUCCUGGUGUAGCGGUGAAAUGCGCAGAUAUCAGGAGGAACACCGAUGGCGAAGGCAGGUCUCUGGGCCGAGAUUGACGCUGAGGAGCGAAAGCGUGGGGAGCGAACAGG
This 254-nucleotide ribosomal RNA is filed under the name uncultured bacterium. RNAcentral's name for it is "partial 16S ribosomal RNA". It matches the Rfam family "Bacterial small subunit ribosomal RNA", at positions 524 to 776 of the family's 1533-position model. The record is from RNAcentral.